GAGAUCAUGCUUCAUAAAACACCUGGUUCUUUGUGUAUCUGUCACACAAGGGAUAACCAAUAUGACUAUUUGGUUACAUUUGGCUUUUGUUGCUUAGUUUAUUCUUACAUAGAUGGGCAGCUGGAUGUUAGGGAAAAACAGGGACAGGAAAGAGACUCCAUCCAGUGGCUCUCUGAAGAUUCACCCUUGUUAUCAGUCACUUGGGAUUCUGUUAUCAGAAUUUGGGAUUGCUUGUUAUCACAGCAUUACCUAGUCUACCCUGACUAAUACAAGGGCACUUUGAGAAUCUGAUGGAAGCUCAGGCCACAAGAAAACUGCACAUUCAUGCAAAAUUCAGAACCUUUCAAUUUUAAUGUCUUGAGAUUUCGUUGUGUUUCUAAGAUCCUUGAUGUCCCACAGCCUCCUCUUCUCAGCCUUGGAAUCUGAGGCACCUGGGUUGUAAGUGAUGCUAUGUCAGUGUUCACAAAGGCUCACAAGUCUGCGAAGUGGCCAAGAUGAGCUGACCCUGUCACCAUGGAGCAAGGCCUAUGUGUGCAAAUGAGUCAUGAGCUGAGAGGAAAGAGCUUGAGCCUGAGCUUUUUUUUUUCUUUUCUUUUCUUUUCUUUUUAUGAUGAUUGCUUGAGCCUGAGCUUGUUUGCCAGAUGCUUUCACUAGCCCAAGCUUGUUUUGUGGAUGCUUUCUGCUGCCAGCUACUUUGUAGUCCCUCCUGUGUGACAGCAUCUUGCCAUCAACGGGCUGCAGAAGAAGGGGUGCUUGUUGCUAUUGUGAGCAAACACUGCAUAAACAAUCAGCUCACAUGUGUGUCCCAGAGCGUAUGACCAAUGACCUGGAGAACUCUCAGGCUGUGGGGUGGAGAGAAGGCCAUUCUGAGGUCAACUGAAACCUCACUUGAGGGGCAGUUCCGUAGAUGGGAAUGAGGAGAGAGUCAUGGCCACAGCCACCUGGCCAAGGAGAGAGGCCAUAACUGCCAGACAGAACCAAGGAUGGAGGGACUUCAGCAGCACGAACAAUCCACACUCAGCAUGGGUCACUCUCUGGGACACACAUUUCCCUCUGGCUGAAAGGCUGAGCUGCUCCAGGGCCAACUGUGAGGUCAGACAGCUGCCCAGGGAUGUCUCCAGCCACUCAAGGGAAGAAGAGACCACUCACCUGUAAUUUCAACAGCAACAAAAGACCUGAGGUUCCACCAUCAGAACUUCACGCCCUAAGGAAGAUGCAGCAUUUCCUGUAAAAUGCAAGUGCUCCCAGGCAGAGGUAGCUCCCGAAGCCAUGAUCAGUUAUGUAUACCUUAGUGGCAGCUGAUUAACAGACUCUUCCCCAGAGCCAGCUGACAGGAAGCACAUCGGGGUAAAAGGGAAGAUGAAAACUUGGGUGCCUGGAGGAAGGGAACAAAUGCGAGCAGGAGCAUGCUGGACAGGCUUUAGGGACCUGCUUGAGCAGAACAUGGUAGAAGUGAUGGACUGGGGCUUCUGAGGCUAAGCCAUAAGAAGCCUUGAGAAUUUCACCUGGCCCUCACUGUCUCUGGGAGCCCUGAGCCAUGAUAGAAGAAGUCCUUCCUAUAUUGAAUGUCCUUGAGACCUCCAGUACUGGAAAGGGCAUUUGUAGAUGCUCAGACCAACAGUCCAAACUGAGCCCAGUCUGCCAACUUGCCCUGCCAAGGUGUCAGAUGCAUAUGUGAAUGAGACCAUCCUAGACCUGCUGAUAGCCCAUCACCCGGCUGACUGCUACUGAGUAACCUCUGCCAACUUCACGCCGAACACAGAACUGCUGAUUUGAACUCUGCCUGAAUUUCUUGGCCCACAGAACAAUGAGAUAUAAUUAAAAGGCAAUGGUUCAAGCCA
RNAcentral lists this long non-coding RNA (1841 nucleotides) under Homo sapiens (human). RNAcentral's name for it is "HSALNT0381932". Lineage: Eukaryota; Metazoa; Chordata; Mammalia; Primates; Hominidae. The record is from RNAcentral.